UCUGUCUCUACCUGACGGUUCUUGUCCCUCUCCCUUCACCCCUUUGCCUUUAGGUUCAUCUAUCUCGUCGCAAUGGCAAGUGCGCUCUUUUCCCCUUUCGUAGGCUUUCCUUUCUUUUUUUGUAAAUUGCACCGUUUACAAAGCCUCUGAUGACGAGGGAUACCACAGCGCGUGGUGUUACAGGGUCCCGUAAACCCACUCCAUUGGGAAGCCGAGACGCCUCCUACUCUAUCCCUUCGAAUGCCGACCCACUGCUGGUGACAAGGUCGAGCACCUGCGACGUGGGGAGGUCAGAGCGAUGUAUCGCUGAUGAUGUCGGCGGCCAGGUCCCGGCUGGCGCUGCGUGGGGGCGACCGGCAACGGUGAACGCGCUUGCGCCAUCCAUGUGAUAGGCGGAGCGUCAGCGUGACUCGAACGCAUCUCACCCCUGCCCCGGCUGCCCACUGGCGUGGGAACGCUGGGUGUCACUGUGACGGGACGCACCGGGUGGCGGCCGGCAUAAUGUGAGCUUGUAUGGGGCGACCUGCGAAGCAAGAGUGGCUGGGCGGAGUUCGAGGCAGGCGCCGUGAUCAGGUGACUGAGUCGACGUUGGUGCAACGCGUGUCUACCGCUGCUUCGCACGACGCGGCGGGGGCCUGUGACAGGCCGGGGUAGCGGGGAACUCGACUCAUGUUGCAUGGCAGAAGGAGUAAGAUGAAAUCAAAGAUUACCGCUGCGUGUCGGUGCUCGAGAAAGAUAAGUGCGCAUUACGCAGGCGCGGCUUGGGCAGUGAAGCUAGCCGAGUAGCUAUCGCUUUCUCUCCUCCUCACCUCCCUUUACCAGCCACUGAAUGCACCACUCCCGGCGACAGAAAGCAAAAACUGCUCUCUAUUUCCGUUGCUUGCUAUUUUGACUUGUGUUCGCACGCCUUCAUCGAGACACAGCGGUGCGACGAGAUCGGCGGAAAAUCAAUUUUUAUUGGUUCCGUGGAAGCGAUGUGCUAAGUCUACGUGUAUCCGUGCCCCUUUCACUUUCCUUUUUUCUUUGAGAAAAAAGCCCCAGUGACCGCGUAGUGCCUUUCUCUCGUUAUUUCCACUGCCCGUGUCUUUAGAGUGAGUGCCACCCAUCCGAACCCCUUCAUGUCUCCUCCCGUGAUACAUGGCCCUGGAAGGAUGGACGGCACCGCACUCUCGUCAGUAUACAAACACAACAU
Molecule: unclassified non-coding RNA, 1192 nt
Filed under: Leishmania donovani
Lineage: Eukaryota; Euglenozoa; Kinetoplastea; Trypanosomatida; Trypanosomatidae
Description: gene:unknown
Source: RNAcentral